AGUGACGUGCUUGACAAAAAGAUUACCUUGAUGUGGUAAAAUAUGGAAGCUAAUCUUCCCGUUACUA
Molecule: transfer RNA, 67 nt
Filed under: Alpheus distinguendus
Lineage: Eukaryota; Metazoa; Arthropoda; Malacostraca; Decapoda; Alpheidae
Description: tRNA-Ile
Source: RNAcentral